UUUUUAAUCGUAGGUUUUUAAAUUAGUAAAAUAUUGCUUGUGCCCUGAUGUCUGAAGAGUAUUUAAACCAUCUACCUGAUGCCCAGAAAGAAUUCAAGCUUGUUUGUGAGCAGAAAAGCAGGAAUCUCAAGGAAUGAGCAAAUGAACUCUGGAAAUUCACGGUUAUGAACUCUGAACUGUGGAAAUUCAAAUGGACUCUGGAAAGAAAUUCAAGGUUAUUCUGAGAAAUUGAUUUCCCAAUCUUCCUAAAAAAAGAGAAUGAUUACUAGAGAGUGAUUACUACUUACUGAAGAGAAUUAUUUCGCGAAUAGUCUUCUCCGUUUCUCGUGAUGUUUCUUGUUUUGUAUCUUUGAAUGUUUCUUGUACCUUUUUAUGUGUUAGUAUUGUUUGUUUUUGUAUUUGAAAAUUUGAGAAAACGUAGAAAGUAGUACUCUUUUUUGAGCUUCAGUUAGACUAAUAUAUUUUGUUGUUUCUUUCAGUUAUAAAUUAAUAAUUUUUAUAACUUUCGAAGUAAUUGUAUUUAUUAUGAAUUUAUAAAUAUUAUCAACUAUUAUAUGAUUCAGAGUGUAAAAUCUGAACAGAAUCUGAUAUUCAGAAUGUAAUAUCUGUUCUUUUUAUAUUUAAAUAUUUGAGAAAACAUAGAAAGUAGUACUCUUUUUGA
Long non-coding RNA from Parasteatoda tepidariorum (common house spider), 661 nucleotides. The record is from RefSeq and is a predicted model, not a curated record. NCBI's taxonomy places the organism in Eukaryota, Metazoa, Arthropoda, Arachnida, Araneae, Theridiidae.